Homo sapiens (human) is the source of this 2716-nucleotide long non-coding RNA. Lineage: Eukaryota; Metazoa; Chordata; Mammalia; Primates; Hominidae. The record is from Ensembl.
GCGGCAGCAGGGUUGGGCUCUCGCCGUGAGUCGACGAAGGGAGCGCGGGCGCGCGCCCGCGUCCGCGCACUGAGAGUCGCCUCGGCCGCUCGCUUUCUCGACUCCCGCCUCGCGCCUCGAUCCUGUUCCGCCUCCCUCGGCCCUCCUGCCCGCCCCCACUCGUCGGCCCUCAGCUCAGAGACCUAAUAGGAUGGGGUCUUAGAGAAACAUCUUUUGAGCCACAGACUUCUUUGUUACCAGAAGGAAAAUGAAAGAAGAAAUUUAAAUACCACUUGAAGAGAGGUGCUGCCCAGUUCAUGAGUGCUGCUGCUGUCCUGCCCAAGUACCCAGCUUGCAGAGUGCCAGAGUUAGAGUCCCAGGGGUGUUCUCCACAGCUGCAUGCUUGAUCCAGGCCUAUCAGUGAACCAGCAUCUUGCCCUUCAGACCCUACAGCACACUCUUGGGCUCAUGAAGUGUAUGACACAUCCUCCUUGGGGGAUCGGCCAUGUCCUCGCUCUCAUGACCACAUGAAUUCUUCUGUAUGUCUUUUCUCACAGCUGAGUACUCUCUUCCUGACCCCCUUGUGGAAUGGGGAAAGGAGGCUGUGACAUUGUGCUUGUGCAAACAAUAAUUGAGAGCUUUCCGAGUCUCCUGCAUCUUCAUAAAUGAUUUUUUGUUUUAUGCUGGGACAGUAGUUCUUUAAAUAGAAUAUUCUCCCAUGGAAAUCGCCCACAAUGCUGAGAGUACACCUUGCAAAAGCCCUGCUUCUUUAGAAUUGACAGUCUGGCUUCGUGGUUAAUUCACAGCAUCUGAGGAAUACAUCCAAAGAGGGUGAUACUGUGGCAUGAUGGUACCAGGAUUCCAAGUUCAUUCCAGAGAAGAUGGCAAGAUGCAGAGAGGAGGAGUCACGCCUGAAGCCACACAGCUGACAUCAGAGCCAAAGCAUGAGCCUCAGUCUCUCUGACCCAGAGCUACCACCCUUGCUGCCUUGGGAAGAAGGAAGCCCCCUCCUAUUCUAUCCUUGAGCUGCCUUGGCAAGGAGGGGCCCCUUGCUGCCGCCAUCCUCACAGGACACCAUCCACAUGAGGGGAUGAAUCUCAGUUGCACUCAGUUGUUGCCCCCCUCGAACCUCCCUUGAGCCUCAGGAGAAACCACCCUGAUUCAGAGGUCCAGAGAAGACCUGACUAGCCCAAGGUAAUUCCGUCCCCUUGCCAGAGUGGCUUGGGCAGGGACACGGGACCUAUUUCAAUGAGGCCAAUGAGACAAAGGUAUUUCUGCUGGGGAGGCAGGGGCUUCAAGCAAAGGGUCUUGCUUGAAAGAGCCACCGGAAGAGGGCUCUCUCCUUCCUUAGGGUGUCACCGUGUCUGGAUGCGAUGCCUGGAAGUGCUACAGCCACUCGCGCCCAGCCUGAAGAUGAAACCAACCCCAAACACAGCCAAGCAGAGAGAUGGAAAGAACUAGGACCCUAAUUACACCACUGAGCAGCUAUAGCAACCAGUUCCAGAGCCCUCUGACUUCCCGCCAAAGUGAGAUGAUAAGAUACUGUUUAAUUUCUCUCUUUUAUAGCCAAACACACCAAAAUUGACACAGAGAUGUGAGCCAUACCUACUACUGUUACUGCUCCAUCCCUAGCUCCAACCACAGUGCAUGGUACAUGGUAGAGAGCCAACAAACACUUGAAGAAUGAAUGGUGCAUAUUGAGUGGGAUUUUCCAGAGGCAGACCUGGAGACAAGGCUUCAAGUGCGUGUGUUGUAUUAAGGAAAUGCUCCCAGGGGACAAUAGCAGAGUGGCAGAAAUGGGACAAGGGGGCCAGGGAGCCAAGAACAGAGAAUCAAUCGUCUAAACAGAGCCCCCUGUUUUUUGUUUCACCUGGGAGUAGCUUCUACCUGAUCCCCAGGGGAACUCUGGGAUGUCAGUGACGGCUCAGCAUUGCCCCUGAGGCAAGGGAGCUGGGCUUUCCUAAUCCCCCACUCCUCAGUCUCUGGCUAAGCGCUGUCCCCAGGGGACUUAAUCACCCAAACACUUCCCCAAGAGUGGCAUCUGCUGACCACUGGAGGCACUGGUACAGUGAAGCGACAGAAGGGAUCAGAGAGGGUCCAGGUGGAGCACAGCAAUGUGGCUGAAUAAUAACUAUAUUAAUUCAUAUAGUUAAUUCUCAAGCAAUGGCAAAGUGUAGGCAGCUUCUUGUCUGCAAACGUUUCCAUGAUAUCUCUCCUGCAGCCAGACGGGUCUUUUCCUGCCGCCUACACAGAAUGGCCAUGGAGCAUCCCCAACUCUUAUUAAAAUGGAAAAAAAAAAAGCCUUUGCAUUUCAAUCUAUUAUUGCACUUUAUGACUCAUCUUCAGGUUCUCUCUGCAAAACAUUGAAAGCCAGAUCAUAAUUUGAUGAUGAAAUAUUGAUUAUGCAUUUGUAUGCAGAGGUCUAUACUAUAUAGAUAGAAUUCCCACCCUGUAGUAUCUUCUAUUUUAAGUCAGUAUGAAGAUGGAUGUUCCCCCCAGGCAAAUUUUGAUAAGAUACUUGUGUCAAUACAAAAAGAGAUUAAUGCCAAUGUGAAUCAAUACCCGCUUAUUGGUUUGGGUUGCUUCUUCUCCACGCAGCAGCUGGCACCAAGAGGGGUUUCCAAACACCAGCGGCUCCCAGCCAAUCUGCAUAUUUCUUUAUUUAAAUCAUGAGAGUGGGAAGUGGCAAGGGAAUGGUGGGUUGGCAGGGGGCUGCCCACGCCCACUCCCAAAUUGA